CCUACGGGAGGCAGCAGUGAGGAAUAUUGGUCAAUGGGCGAGAGCCUGAACCAGCCAAGUCGCGUGAGGGAGUACUGCCCUAUGGGUUGUAAACCUCUUUUGUCGGGGAGCAAAAGCCGGACGUGUCCGGCUGUGAGAGUACCCGAAGAAAAAGCAUCGGCUAACUCCGUGCCAGCAGCCGCGGUAAUACGGAGGAUGCGAGCGUUAGCCGGAUUUAUUGGGUUUAAAGGGUGCGCAGGCGGAUUUUUAAUUCAGCGGUAAAAUCGUGGGGCUCAACCCCAUCCAGCCGUUGAAACUGGGGAUCUAGAGUGUGCGAGAGGUAUGCGGAAUGCGUGGUGUAGCGGUGAAAUGCAUAGAUAUCACGCAGAACCCCGAUUGCGAAGGCAGCAUACCGGUGCACAACUGACGCUCAGGCACGAAAGCGUGGGUAUCGAACAGGAUUAGAUACCCGAGUAGUC
Molecule: ribosomal RNA, 458 nt
Filed under: uncultured bacterium
Lineage: Bacteria
Description: partial 16S ribosomal RNA
Rfam family: Bacterial small subunit ribosomal RNA
Source: RNAcentral